AUUGAACGCUGGCGGAAUGCUUUACACAUGCAAGUCGAACGGCAGCACGGACUUCGGUCUGGUGGCGAGUGGCGAACGGGUGAGUAAUGUAUCGGAACGUGCCCAGUCGUGGGGGAUAACGUAGUGAAAAUUACGCUAAUACCGCAUACGAUCUAUGGAUGAGAGCGGGGGAUCGCAAGACCUCGCGCGAUUGGAGCGGCCGAUAUCAGAUUAGGUAGUUGGUGGGGUAAAGGCCCACCAAGCCAACGAUCUGUAGCUGGUCUGAGAGGACGACCCGCCACACUGGAACUGAGACACGGUCCAGACUCCUACGGGAGGCAGCAGUGGGGAAUUUUGGACAAUGGGCGAAAGCCUGAUUCAGCCAUUCCGCGUGCAGGAUGAAGGCCCUCGGGUUGUAAACUGCUUUUGUACAGAACGAAAAGGUUUCUACUAAUACUAGGAGCUCAUGACGGUACUGUAAGAAUAAGCACCGGCUAACUACGUGCCAGCCGCCGCGGUAA
This 500-nucleotide ribosomal RNA is filed under the name uncultured bacterium. Its description in RNAcentral is "partial 16S ribosomal RNA". It matches the Rfam family "Bacterial small subunit ribosomal RNA", at positions 30 to 523 of the family's 1533-position model. The record is from RNAcentral.